GAAAUGCGAUAAGUAAUGUGAAUUGCAGAAUUCAGUGAAUCAUCGAAUCUUUGAACGCACAUUGCGCCCGCCAGCACUCUGGCGGGCAUGCCUGUUCGAGCGUCAUUUCAACCCUCAGAACCCCUUGCGGGAUCUGGCGUUGGGGAUUGGCAUCCAGCCAGCCCCGAAAUCUAGUGGCGGUCCCUCCGCGACCUCCCCCUGUGCAGUAGCGAUACCUCGCAGCGGGACAGCGGUCUGACCACGCCGUAAAACCCCCAACUUCUCAAGGUUGACCUCGAAUCAGGUAGGAAUACCCGCUGAACUUAAGC
This 308-nucleotide unclassified non-coding RNA is filed under the name plant metagenome. Its description in RNAcentral is "partial contains 5.8S ribosomal RNA, internal transcribed spacer 2, and large subunit ribosomal RNA". The stretch from base 1 to 105 matches the Rfam family "5.8S ribosomal RNA", at positions 50 to 154 of the family's 154-position model. The record is from RNAcentral.